CGCGUGUCGUAACCCGCAAGGGGGCACGUCGCCAAGGAUGUCAUGAUUGGGGUG
This 54-nucleotide ribosomal RNA is filed under the name uncultured bacterium. RNAcentral's name for it is "partial 16S ribosomal RNA". The record is from RNAcentral.